AACGUAGGGACCGAGCGUUAUCCGGAUUUACUGGGCGUAAAGCGCGUGCAGGCGGUCCUUCAAGUCUAACGUGAAAGCUCCUGGCUCAACUGGGAGAGGCCGUUGGAGACUGAGGGACUUGAGGAUGAGAGAGGUGAGUGGAAUUCCCGGUGUAGUGGUGAAAUGCGUAGAUAUCGGGAGGAACACCAGUGGCGAAAGCGGCUCACUGGCUCAUACCUGACGCUCAGACGCGAAAGCUAGGGGAGAGAACGGG
Molecule: unclassified non-coding RNA, 253 nt
Filed under: uncultured Anaerolineae bacterium
Lineage: Bacteria; Bacillati; Chloroflexota; Anaerolineae
Description: contains 16S-23S intergenic spacer region
Rfam family: Bacterial small subunit ribosomal RNA
Source: RNAcentral